This 67-nucleotide transfer RNA is filed under the name Limnoria quadripunctata. Its description in RNAcentral is "tRNA-Gln". Lineage: Eukaryota; Metazoa; Arthropoda; Malacostraca; Isopoda; Limnoriidae. The record is from RNAcentral.
UAAGUUUCAGUGUAAGAAGCACAUAAAAUUUUGAUUUUUAAAGAGAAAAUUCAAACUAUUUAAAUAA